AACGAACGCUGGCGGCAUGCCUAACACAUGCAAGUCGAACGGGAUCCUGGUUUCGGCCAGGUGAGAGUGGCGGACGGGUGAGUAACGCGUGGGAACCUGCCCAGUGGUGGGGGAUAACUGCGGGAAACUGCAGCUAAUACCGCAUGAGCCCGCAAGGGGAAAGAUUGAUCGCCAUUGGAGGGGCCCGCGUUCGAUUAGGUAGUUGGUGAGGUAACGGCUCACCAAGCCUACGANCGAUAGCUGGUCUGAGAGGAUGAUCAGCCACACUGGGACUGAGAUACGGCCCAGACUCCUACGGGAGGCAGCAGUGGGGAAUAUUGGACAAUGGGGGCAACCCUGAUCCAGCAAUGCCGCGUGAGUGAUGAAGGCC
RNAcentral lists this ribosomal RNA (370 nucleotides) under uncultured bacterium. RNAcentral's name for it is "bacterial SSU rRNA". It matches the Rfam family "Bacterial small subunit ribosomal RNA", at positions 29 to 416 of the family's 1533-position model. The record is from RNAcentral.